This is a long non-coding RNA of Bactrocera neohumeralis, 5336 nucleotides long. RefSeq lists it as uncharacterized. The transcript is spliced from 4 exons. Lineage: Eukaryota; Metazoa; Arthropoda; Insecta; Diptera; Tephritidae. The record is from RefSeq and is a predicted model, not a curated record.
ACUUGGCACUCACGUCACUGUUGAUAGAGUCCGUUGUGAUUUAUGUGAGUACCUGCCUGCGAAGGCCUAACCUCACGGAGCUUUCUAUUUCUAGAAACACGUAGAUCAAUACAAUGCGUUGAUCAGCGCCCCAAAGCAUAAAUGAAUUCAGCACUCAUACCUUGGUUUCAAUUGCGACUCCACAUUGGACUAAAUGCCCUGAUUGCAUUUAGGUACAAACCACAACCACCACGAAUCUCCACAAACGGCCAAACCCAAUGAGCAGAUUGGAGAGUAAACUCCAAGGGCAAACUGCUCCCCGUUGUACCAGGUUAUAGUCUCUGGUGAGACUUUGCAGCUUUGCAAUUGAGCUCCCAAAAUCCCAAACUCAAUAACUGGUGACAUUUGUCGCUUGGACAACUUAGGAAUUAAUAUAAAGUCUAUAAUAUCAUUUCAAGCUGAGUAUUAUAGCACUAUUUCGAACAUAUGUAGACCAUGCUGGUAUUUAAACCAAGACCUGAAAUGUCAGACAGAGAGCAUGUGGAUUUUAGUCGCCUCUUACGACAGGCAUGCCUUACCACGGGUAUAUUCUUCCGCCUCCAACACAAGGGGCCCCCUACCCGCAGGGGGAGGUCACUGUUGACACUCAUAACUUUAAAGUUGUAGAUAGUUUUGUAUAUUUGGGAACCAGUGUAAACACCACCAACAAUGUCAGCCUGGAAAUCCAACGCAGGAUAACUCUUGCCAAGAGGUGCUACUUCGGACUGAGUAGGCAAUUGAGAAGUAAAGUCCUCUCUCGACGAACAAAAAAAACUCUGUUAGUCACUCAUAAUUCCCGUCCUGCUAUAUGGUGCAGAGGCAUGGACGAUGACAACAACUGAUGAGUCGAUGUUGUGUUGAGAGAAAAGUUCUGCGAAAGAUUUAUUCCUUUGCGCGUUGGCCACGGCGAAUAUCGCAUUCGAUGGAACGAUGAGCUGUAUGAGAUAAGUAUAUGACGACAUUGACAUAGUUCAGCGAAUUAAAAGACAACGGCUACGCUGGCUAGGUCAUGUUGUUCGAAUGGACGAAAAUAUUCCAGCUCUUAAAGUAUUCGACACUGUGCCCGCCGGUGGAACCAGAGGAAGAGAAGACCUCCACUUUGUUGGAAGAUCCAGGUAGGGAAGGACGUAGCGAAAUGAAGAAACGACUGGCGCGCUGUAGUUAACUCGGCUAUAAUCGCGUAAGCGGUGUCUACGCCAAUUAAGAAGAAGAAUAUUAUUAUUUAAUAUUGCUUAGUUGUUUAUUAAAUUUAAAUAAGAAAAUAUUCAUAUGCAUGAAAAGAUUGUUUAUACUCAUUUUGAUUUGAAAUAUAAUUUAUAGACGCUUGUUUUAAUUAGAUCUAAGAUUGCUAAAUAAAGAAAGAGGAAUUAUAGCGAAAGAGCGAAAUUUCAGCGAAUUGCUCAUAUUUGUUUAUUAUCAUAUGGUAGUGCUCCAUUUCCUCAUAAUUGUUAGCACAUAAAUGAUGCUCACUACGAUUGUAAAAAAUAAAUUUUAAAAUAUAGAUUUCUUGCUUAUAAAACCCGCAAGAAGUGUAAAUUGUGAAUUUGCUUAAAUUUUAACAGUUUAAGUAAAUGUAUUUGAAGUUAAAAAUGCGCAUAAAGAGUGUUAAAUGUAGUGAAAUAGCUUCUUGAAAUGUUCGAAUUUUGGUAAUUUUUGAACUUUAAAGUCGAAUGUUUCGGAAACUAAGCGUUUGCGGUACCUAUAACCCUAUGUAUUUUUUAAUCCUCUUUUCAACGCUACCUUCGGAAUUGUGUCCGAUACAAUGUAUUAAUUACCAAGAAUAUGGACAUACUUGCACUCUACGCGGUGUUUGCGUGGUAAGCACCCUUAGGAAAGACGAUUUAAAUAAAAAAUGCAGCAACUGUGGAAGAAAUCACACUGCUAACUACAGGGAUUAUCCUGUAUAUAAAGAUUUAAAAUCGAAGUUGUCACAGGGCAUUCAAGCACGUCGUAACCAAAUGUUACAAACACCCCGUAAUAAAAUUAUAGCAAUCCCAGAUAAAAGUUGAAAUCCCAUUACUUUUAAGAAUAAUACUAUGCAGGGAAGUUAUGCCAAUGUAGUGAAAGACAACACUGUACAAAUACAACUUCCGCAAAAUCUUCGAAAUGGAGGUAUCGAAACUGCGAAAGAUGAUCCAAGAUCUAAUAAAAUCACACAAUGAAAUGUUGCCAAAUUUAUUAAGUAAGAAAUGAGCAUACUAAAUAUCUGUAUAUGGAAUGCUAACGGUGAUAACCAACAUCAAUUGGAGAUUAUUACAUAUCUGUCUGAAAAAUAGCGAUGAAAUGUUUAUAUCAGAAACCGUCUUACAAAUAAAAAUAAUUUGAAUAUACCGCGAUUUAGAAUCUAUGUUACAAAUCGUCCGGAUGGAAAAGCGCAGGUGACACGGCAGCGUUAGUAAGAAAUCUGUUAAACUAUGCUAUGAAUCUCAUGCUACAGCAAUAUCCCUAAAAAAUCGGGGUUGUGACUUGAACCUUAUGGUUGUAUACAGCCCACCUCGAUUUAAAAUUACAGAUAGCGAGUUUAAAGAUAGCCUGGACAUAAUAUCUCAUGCUGAUACAUGUACAGACUUAUCAUCUGUAGUUGUGAAAAAGCGAGCUAGACGUGAAUGGCAAUUAAGUCGCUCCUCUUCAACUCUGCUUCAACUGAAACCUGCUGCACGUAAGUUAAAAAAAACGCUUAAACGCGAGGAAGAACACAACGCUGAGAAUUAUAUAAAGAAACUGAAGAAACAGUUGAAUGAUAAGAAGUAGAAGAAGAAGAUUGUGAAAAAUUAAUCAAGCAAAAGGGAGAUGAGUCGAAGAAUAAUUGUUAAGUUUCCCAUUCUUUAUCCUUAAAUUAUUCAAAAAUAUCGUGAUAAACUAUUUUUAUUCAUUUAAUGUCUAGAAUGGAUGACGAGGAGGGGGAGGCUCCACAUCAACGCGAUCCACUCAUGAAGACACCACACAUGCAGACAUCACACCACAACUCUACACUACCCAACGUCAAGUGAACGUCCAUCGUAGCAUCACGCAGCAUUAAUUCAUUUUAAAAUUCGAUCCGCAUAUUCACAUACAUACAUCAAAGGUUGAAGUACCUUAACCUUAAAUAAAUCGAAGAAAAAUAAAAAAAACCCAACCGGUUUGUGUCUUUUUUGUAAUAUUUUUGCGUGUGAAGUCUUUAGCGCCGAGGUAAGUGGUGCCUACGAGGAAGGAAGCAAACACAUGACAAUCAUGGAAUCUGGAAACAACAGAAUAAAACGCAGGAAAAUGUGUCAUUGGGUGAGCUCUUUUUCAAGGCAAGGAAUGAGUAGGGGAGGUUUGUCACCGAUUUUGAAAAGUUUAGAAAUGAUCCAGCUCGUUUCGUCGAAAAUUUCCGUAUGCCGCCAUGUGUAUUUGAUGAGCUUUGGAAGAUGCUGGAAUCACAUCUCCUUCCAAGGCGAAAUAGCAGACUGAACGAUUUCAUCCCUACUAAAGCCAAUUACCUGGCUUAUGGAGAUUUACCACGCCAUAUUGCUUCUUGCUUCCGUAUUAGUAAGCAGCACUAUGGAAGAAUCUGCUUUCGAUGCCCCACCAAAAUCUGGAAGUAUAUUUUAUAAUUACAAAGGAUUCCAUUCUACUGUUUUGAGGGCCACACGUGAUGUCAAUUAUAAAUUCACAUACUUGGAUGUUGGUGCUUACGGAAGUGAAGGAGACUCCAAUAUUAUGAAGAAUUCGACAUUCGGUAUCAGCAUACUUAAUGACAGCUGCCAAUAUCCGGCCGACGGCUUUAUCGAUGGCAAAAAAGUAUAGGAGACGACGCAUUUCCACUGUAUAAACGUAUACUAAAGCUUUAAAACAGGGGAUUGGGUACAUAGGGGCUUGAAUAGGUUUGUUAGAUUUAAAAAAUUUCUGAUCAUAAGGUGGCAUACACUAAAGACAUUAUUCUUGCAAAUUUUAAUCUCUUUAUACUAAUUGCUUCUUAUUUGUGUACUGGAAAGUAGAAAAAUCAAGAGGAAUUUAAAAUUCUGCUAUAUGGAAAGUAAGCGUGAUUAAUCCGAUUUCGCUCAAUUUCACAACGUGAAUACCCAAUUUUUUAGAAAUCUGUCAGUCGAGUCCCGAGAUAUGCGAUUUCACCAAAAAGUUGGCGGUACCACGCCCAUCGUACAAUUUGCACACCGGCUCCCAUAACGUCCUUUCAUACCAUCUCGGUGGUAAUUAGGAUUAUUAAUUAGUUAUGGUGCUUUAAAGUUUUCGGUUAAUGGCGAUUUGCGGCGCGUAGCAGUGGUCCCAUUACGCCCAUCUACGAACUCGAACUUUUUUUGUACUAAGAAACCUUCAUACAGAUAGACAGUCAACCGGAUGUCAACUUUUCUCGUGACCCUGAUCAUUUAUAUAUAUAUAUCUCUAUAUCUAUCUCGAUUAGUUUUAAGUGAUACGUACAACCGUUAAGUGAACGAAGCUAUAAUACUUUGCAGCAACUGGGUGCAAGAGUAUAAAAAUUAAUAUAAAACCAAAAAUUUACUUCUUUUUCCUGCUCAAUUUCCAUCUGAAAUAUAUAGAAACUGUUAUGUUUCUUCGCUAAACCAGUGUGGCCUAUCCAAAAUUUAUAAAAUAAAAGUAGUAAAUAUACUUACUGAAUUUCUUGAGAGCUGUUUAUUGCCACAAUAAAAUUUAACACCAGAAAACUUCUUGAGCUUUUCUUUAGCGUGUUUUGCAGGGAUAAUGGGACGCCCAACUUAUUCCAGUGUGAAAUAAAUAAGAAUUUUUGGGCAUUUUAAAUUAAAACACCCAUCAUUUAUUACGAUUGCAAAUUAUUAUAUGUAUAUUGGACUUUUAGUAUAUGACGAAACUACUUAAAUCCUUUUUAUGAUUUUAUGGUAUAUUAAAACAACUGACUUUUGAUCUCUCAAUUCUUAAUAAGGUGAAUUAAGCCUGUUAUUUCUCAAUUAUCGAAUGUUGUUAAUCAUUUGUAAUUGAAAAUUAAUUCUAUUAUGCAUCAAAUUACAAAACGUUUCAUGAAAUAUAUUUAAAUUUCGCAUUUUCUUUGAUUAUCAUUGUUUUAGAUUUUUAUUAGCGAUCUUGAACAGCGAUCAAAAGCUAACAAAAUGCGAUGAGCGUGAUUCACCACAUCUAGCUCAGAAGGAGAAAACUUAACAGUGCCGCUUGAACAGAGCUGAGCAUUCAAUGGAAAUUAUGCUCAGAAAUAUACAUUGUUGUUACAGACGUACUUAUGUUGGCCUUUUGCUUACAUAUAUUUUUAUACGUUUACAUGCCAUGAUAUAAGUUGAUAUGAUUAUCAUUUUGCGCAUUUUUACAUGCAAAACUGAUAACAUUCUAUUAAAAUUAUGGUGUUUUCAAAA